AUGAGGAAGGAGGUCAGCCCGUAUCCGGCCGUCCAGGCCUGCAUCCUCCUUGAGCGGGAUCAGGUGGACCGCAUGCUAUUUCCAGGUGUUUCCAAGUCCGUUGGGGUGGGGCAUGUAAGACUGCUCCUUGUCAGCUGGCCUCCUGACGCAGCUGUUCAACAGCCUUUCUUCUGGCACGGUGACAAAGCUGACGUGGCUCUUAGCCUAAACGACUCCAUUUUGUGGAGCAGCCAUUUUAAGGAAAACAGUCACAUAGAAGCCUGACAUACACUAAGAAAGAUGCCAUUGGGUCUUCCCCCACGCA
This 304-nucleotide long non-coding RNA is filed under the name Canis lupus familiaris (dog). RNAcentral's name for it is "lncRNA (ENSCAFG00000036630.3)". The record is from RNAcentral. Lineage: Eukaryota; Metazoa; Chordata; Mammalia; Carnivora; Canidae.